RNAcentral lists this ribosomal RNA (680 nucleotides) under ascomycete sp. MA 4786. Its description in RNAcentral is "18S ribosomal RNA". The stretch from base 276 to 506 matches the Rfam family "Eukaryotic small subunit ribosomal RNA", at positions 1234 to 1499 of the family's 1831-position model. The record is from RNAcentral. Lineage: Eukaryota; Fungi; Ascomycota.
CCCUAGUUUCGGGCGUAGAAGGCCUCUAWUCGGGGGCUGUUGCGGUGCAACACCAGCUGGCACAGGGGACGCCUAUCCUUCCGGGGAAGGCCAAUCCUGUGGCGAGCCCGGGUCACGCCGGGCCGUCGCAACGCGCGCAAAGCGGUGGGUCGCCUACCUGGCGGCUUAAGGUACGUGCUAAUCCCAUGGGUAACCAUGCCUCUCUGCGUAGGCCCGAAUGCCGAGGCUUAGAGGGCAGAAUGGCGGGAACGUCCCGUAUUCUGCGGUAUUGGAAUGCCAGACACAAUAAGGAUUGACAGAUUGAGAGCUCUUUCUUGAUUUUGUGGGUGGUGGUGCAUGGCCGUUCUUAGUUGGUGGAGUGAUUUGUCUGCUUAAUUGCGAUAACGAACGAGACCUUAACCUGCUAAAUAGCCAGGCCAGCUUUGGCUGGUCGCCGGCUUCUUAGAGGGACUAUCGGCUCAAGCCGAUGGAAGUUUGAGGCAAUAACAGGUUAACCUUUCACAGGCCUGUAACAGUGGAAUGUCCGCUAGUCCAACGUUUCAUCUCCGCGGGGAAGCCCCCAAUGUCGGGCGGAGAGGGGCUGAAAAGCUCUUAACGUGGGCAACACUACCUGGUACAGGGGACGCCGAGAUCCCAUCCUUUACCCAGGGUAAAAGGAUGUCGGCCAAUCCUGUGGCGAG